CUGCUCACUUUGGCAGCAGUUAUACUAUAAUUGGAGUGGUACAGAAAAGAUUAACAUUGUCUCUGAUCAGGAAUGAUAUGCAAAUUCAUGAAGAGUUCCAUAUUUUU
Small nuclear RNA from Diceros bicornis minor, 107 nucleotides. The record is from RefSeq and is a predicted model, not a curated record. Lineage: Eukaryota; Metazoa; Chordata; Mammalia; Perissodactyla; Rhinocerotidae.